AUGGGAUAGUGUGAUCUGCAGAGGUGCAACCAGAAGACAUCGAUGUGAUGAACUUUUAAAAGCUACUGAAGCACUGUGUGGUGGAGGAGCAGUGAUAAAUAAUGUAUCAUAAUCCAUAUGGUCUAAUCAGAAGUGUCGUGAGAGUGACGGACAUCUCCUGUUUGGACCGGAAGUGAGCUCUGCGCCUGGAAGAGAAGGAGGGCAGAAAAUCUCCACAGCAGAUGGCAAGCUCCAAGAUUUCAACAUUUCUGAAAGGAGCUGCUGACUGUCACACCCUUGGACUGUUUUGUGUUUCAUUCCCCAUGUGCUCAGUGUGACCCAGUUUUUCCCCAUGUUUGAUUGUUAGUCAGUUCACCUGUGUUCUCAUGAGUUGAUCCUCCUCACCUGUCUGUCACUCAUUAGCACCCUAUUUAAGCUGUAGUGUGUCCUCUGCUCCCUCUCCGGUCUACUAUGUCUCUACGUGUGCUCCUGUCUGCCUGUUAUGUGAUUUACCCUUGUGUGGAUUUAUUAAAAGACUAUUUGCGUUGA
Pangasianodon hypophthalmus (striped catfish) is the source of this 528-nucleotide long non-coding RNA. RefSeq lists it as uncharacterized. The transcript is spliced from 3 exons. Lineage: Eukaryota; Metazoa; Chordata; Actinopteri; Siluriformes; Pangasiidae. The record is from RefSeq and is a predicted model, not a curated record.